CAAGAAGUAGUUUAAAUAGAAUAUCAGCUUUGGGUGCUGAUGGUGGAGGGAGAAUCCUUCCUUCUUGA
Molecule: transfer RNA, 68 nt
Filed under: Alticola lemminus (lemming mountain vole)
Lineage: Eukaryota; Metazoa; Chordata; Mammalia; Rodentia; Cricetidae
Description: tRNA-Pro
Rfam family: tRNA
About the family: Transfer RNA (tRNA) molecules are approximately 80 nucleotides in length.
Source: RNAcentral